AGAGUUUGAUCCUGGCUCAGGACGAACGCUGGCGGCGCGCCUAACACAUGCAAGUCGAACGGAGUUAAGAGGAGCUUGCUUUUCUUAACUUAGUGGCGAACGGGUGAGUAACGCGUGAGUAACCUGCCCUGGAGUGGGGGACAACAGUUGGAAACGACUGCUAAUACCGCAUAAGCCCACGGAGCCGCAUGGCUUUGGGGGAAAAGGAUUUAUUCGCUUCAGGAUGGACACGCGUCCAAUUAGCUAGUUGGUGAGGUAACGGCCCACCAAGGCGACGAUUGGUAGCCGGACUGAGAGGUUGAACGGCCACAUUGGGACUGAGACACGGCCCAGACUCCUACGGGAGGCAGCAGUGGGGGAUAUUGCACAAUGGGGGAAACCCUGAUGCAGCGACGCCGCGUGGAGGAAGAAGGUUUUCGGAUUGUAAACUCCUGUCGUUAGGGACGAUAAUGACGGUACCUAACAAGAAAGCACCGGCUAACUACGUGCCAGCAGCCGCGGUAAAACGUAGGGUGCAAGCGUUGUCCGGAAUUACUGGGUGUAAAGGGAGCGCAGGCGGACCGGCAAGUUGGAAGUGAAAACUAUGGGCUCAACCCAUAAAUUGCUUUCAAAACUGCUGGCCUUGAGUAGUGCAGAGGUAGGUGGAAUUCCCGGUGUAGCGGUGGAAUGCGUAGAUAUCGGGAGGAACACCAGUGGCGAAGGCGACCUACUGGGCACCAACUGACGCUGAGGCUCGAAGGCAUGGGUAGCAAACAGGAUUAGAUACCCUGGUAGUCCAUGCCGUAAACGAUGAUUACUAAGUGUUGGAGGAUU
Molecule: ribosomal RNA, 813 nt
Filed under: uncultured bacterium
Lineage: Bacteria
Description: bacterial SSU rRNA
Rfam family: Bacterial small subunit ribosomal RNA
Source: RNAcentral